Molecule: ribosomal RNA, 613 nt
Filed under: uncultured Gammaproteobacteria bacterium
Lineage: Bacteria; Pseudomonadati; Pseudomonadota; Gammaproteobacteria
Description: bacterial SSU rRNA
Rfam family: Bacterial small subunit ribosomal RNA
Source: RNAcentral
UGAGUUUGAUCAUGGCUCANNUUGAACGCUGGCGGCAGGCCUAACACAUGCAAGUCGAGCGGUAACAGGACUAGCUUGCUAGUUGCUGACGAGCGGCGGACGGGUGCGUAACACGUAGGAAUCUGCCCGGUAGUGGGGGAUAGCCCGGAGAAAUCCGGAUUAAUACCGCAUACGCCUUACGAGGGAAAGAAGGGGCCUCUUCGGAGCCUUUCGCUAUCGGAUGAGCCUGCGUCGGAUUAGCUAGUUGGUGGGGUAAAGGCCUACCAAGGCGACGAUCCGUAGCUGGUCUGAGAGGAUGAUCAGCCACACUGGGACUGAGACACGGCCCAGACUCCUACGGGAGGCAGCAGUGGGGAAUAUUGCACAAUGGGGGAAACCCUGAUGCAGCCAUGCCGCGUGUGUGAAGAAGGCUCUAGGGUUGUAAAGCACUUUCAGCGAGGAGGAAAGGUUGCUGNUUAAUACCCAGCGGCUGUGACGUUACUCGCAGAAGAAGCACCGGCUAACUCCGUGCCAGCAGCCNNGGUAAUACGGAGGGUGCGAGCGUUAAUCGGAAUUACUGGGCGUAAAGCGUGCGUAGGCGGUCAUGUAAGUUGGAUGUGAAAGCCCCGGGCUC